GGCCAUAGCUCAGUGAUGGAGCAUCUGCUUUGCAUGCAGAAAGUCCUGGGUUCAGUUUCCAGCAUCUCCA
Molecule: non-coding RNA, 70 nt
Organism: Podarcis lilfordi (Lilford's wall lizard)
Lineage: Eukaryota; Metazoa; Chordata; Lepidosauria; Squamata; Lacertidae
Source: the annotation of a GenBank genome assembly